GCAAGUCGAGCGAGAACGUCGUCUUCGGGCGAAUAGUAAAGCGGCGAACGGGUGGGGAACACGUGGGUAACCUGCCUUGGUGAUGGGGAUAACCUGGGGAAACUCGGGCUAAUACCGCAAACGACUGGAGAACUGCGGUGCUGAGAGGAAAGCUAGCCAAAUCUUGAAAGGUAGCGCUCUUAGAGGGGCCCGCGCCCGAUUAGCUUGUUGGUGAGGUAACGGCUCACCAAGGCGGUGAUCGGUAGCCGGCCUGAGAGGGCGAUC
This 264-nucleotide ribosomal RNA is filed under the name uncultured bacterium. RNAcentral's name for it is "partial 16S ribosomal RNA". It matches the Rfam family "Bacterial small subunit ribosomal RNA", at positions 57 to 305 of the family's 1533-position model. The record is from RNAcentral.